RNAcentral lists this ribosomal RNA (759 nucleotides) under uncultured bacterium. RNAcentral's name for it is "bacterial SSU rRNA". It matches the Rfam family "Bacterial small subunit ribosomal RNA", at positions 28 to 777 of the family's 1533-position model. The record is from RNAcentral.
GAUGAACGCUAGCUACAGGCUUAACACAUGCAAGUCGAGGGGCAGCAUGAACUUAGCUUGCUAAGUUUGAUGGCGACCGGCGCACGGGUGAGUAACACGUAUCCAACCUGCCGAUGACUCGGGGAUAGCCUUUCGAAAGAAAGAUUAAUACCCGAUGGCAUAGUUCUUCCGCAUGGUAGAACUAUUAAAGAAUUUCGGUCAUCGAUGGGGAUGCGUUCCAUUAGGUUGUUGGCGGGGUAACGGCCCACCAAGCCUUCGAUGGAUAGGGGUUCUGAGAGGAAGGUCCCCCACAUUGGAACUGAGACACGGUCCAAACUCCUACGGGAGGCAGCAGUGAGGAAUAUUGGUCAAUGGACGAGAGUCUGAACCAGCCAAGUAGCGUGAAGGAUGACUGCCCUAUGGGUUGUAAACUUCUCUUAUACGGGAAUAAAGUGAGGCACGUGUGCCUUUUUGUAUGUACCGUAUGAAUAAGGAUCGGCUAACUCCGUGCCAGCAGCCGCGGUAAUACGGAGGAUCCGAGCGUUAUCCGGAUUUAUUGGGUUUAAAGGGAGCGUAGGCGGACGCUUAAGUCAGUUGUGAAAGUUUGCGGCUCAACCGUAAAAUUGCAGUUGAUACUGGGUGUCUUGAGUACAGUAGAGGCAGGCGGAAUUCGUGGUGUAGCGGUGAAAUGCUUAGAUAUCACGAAGAACUCCGAUUGCGAAGGCAGCCUGCUGGACUGUAACUGACGCUGAUGCUCGAAAGUGUGGGUAUCAAACCAGG